Molecule: ribosomal RNA, 392 nt
Filed under: uncultured bacterium
Lineage: Bacteria
Description: bacterial SSU rRNA
Rfam family: Bacterial small subunit ribosomal RNA
Source: RNAcentral
GACGAACGCUGGCGGCGUGCUUAACACAUGCAAGUCGAGCGGUAAGGCCCUUUCGGGGGUACGACGAGCGGCGAACGGGUGAGUAACACGUGGGUGACCUGCCCUCAGCUCUGGGAUAAGCCUGGGAAACCGGGUCUAAUACUGGAUAUGACUCCAUGACGCAUGUUGUGGGGUGGAAAGCCUUGUGCGGCUGAGGAUGGGCCCGCGGCCUAUCAGCUUGUUGGUGGGGUGGAGGCCUACCAAGGCGACGACGGGUAGCCGGCCUGAGAGGGCGACCGGCCACACUGGGACUGAGACACGGCCCAGACUCCUACGGGAGGCAGCAGUGGGGAAUCUUGCGCAAUGGGCGAAAGCCUGACGCAGCGACGCCGCGUGAGGGAUGACGGCCUCGG